RNAcentral lists this transfer RNA (69 nucleotides) under Diploderma splendidum. RNAcentral's name for it is "tRNA-Asp". The record is from RNAcentral. Lineage: Eukaryota; Metazoa; Chordata; Lepidosauria; Squamata; Agamidae.
UAGGCCCUAGUAUAAAUAUUACAUGACCCUGUCAGCAUCAAAAUAUAGGAAUUAAACCUGUGAGCCUAA